Molecule: ribosomal RNA, 494 nt
Filed under: uncultured bacterium
Lineage: Bacteria
Description: partial 16S ribosomal RNA
Rfam family: Bacterial small subunit ribosomal RNA
Source: RNAcentral
GACGAACGCUGGCGGCGUGCUUAACACAUGCAAGUCGAACGGUGAAGCGCCUUCCUUUUUGGUGGGUGUGGAUGAGUGGCGAACGGGUGAGUAACACGUGAGUAACCUGCCCCCUUCUUCUGGAUAACCGCAUGAAAGUGUGGCUAAUACGGGAUAUUCUGGGUCUGUCGCAUGAUGGGUCUGGGAAAGAUAUUGUUUCGGUGGGGGAUGGGCUCGCGGCCUAUCAGCUUGUUGGUGGGGUGAUGGCCUACCAAGGCGGUGACGGGUAGCCGGCCUGGGAGGGUGGACGGCCCCACUGGGACUGAGACACGGCCCAGACUCCUACGGGAGGCAGCAGUGGGGAAUAUUGCACAAUGGGCGCAAGCCUGAUGCAGCGACGCCGCGUGAGGGAUGGAGGCCUUCGGGUUGUGAACCUCUUUCGCCAGUGAAGCAGGCCUGCCUCGUUUGUGGGUGGGUUGACGGUAGCUGGAUAAGAAGCGCCGGCUAACUACGUG